Long non-coding RNA from Herpailurus yagouaroundi (jaguarundi), 2014 nucleotides. RefSeq lists it as uncharacterized. NCBI's taxonomy places the organism in Eukaryota, Metazoa, Chordata, Mammalia, Carnivora, Felidae. The record is from RefSeq and is a predicted model, not a curated record. The transcript has 3 exons.
CCACCGAGGGGUUGAGGGCCCCAGUUCCUGCCACCUACUGUCAUCUGCUCGUGUGCAUGAAGGGGAGAGGCCCAGCAGCCCCUCACUCUGGGCUUCACUAGAGCUGGGGCAGAGGCAGAAGUGGGGCAUCUCCUGCUGGCCCCCCACUUCUUCCCCUGGGCCCAGGCAUGGAGGUGCCUCUCAGGAUGGAGGCCACACCACGGGAGCUGGCAGUGCGGGAACAGCCAGAUCUCAGGUCCUGGCUCUACUCCUGGGUGUACCCAGAACCUCCACAUCUCUCUCCUCACAGAUCCAGGACCUGCCGGGUUGUGUUGGAAGCUUCCACCAUGAGAUUUCAAAGGUUCUACUGCUUCUGUAUGAAAAGAGAGCCCAAGAAGGGACAGACGGGGUGGGCACUGGGUCUGUGAGAUCCUCAUUCUCCUGCCUCAGCUAAGAAAUGCUCCACCCACCAAUCCCUCUCCCUCCUCCCGUGUCCCCUUCCUUCUCUACCUUUCCUGGGAGGAUGCUGCAAGUGUCAGGCCUGGCCCCCAGGCAGGCUCUCAGCAGCUGGGAGCUCCCAUUCUGUAUGACAAAAACUUUGAGUGCCCUCCGAGGGGAUUCCCGGCAGGAGGGAUCAGCCCCGCCUCUGGCAGGUGGAAUCUGGGCUGGGGGCCCACAGCAUCCACGCCCCACCCCACCUGCCCAGCCAGGUCUGGUGGUGGCCCACUGGGCAGCUCCAUCCUGGGAAGAAGGUGGCUGUGCUCUCCUGAUCCACAAAGGCGUGUAGCCCUUUGGAGGUGAUUGAGGAUGGCGAUGACUAAUUGUGUCAGCAGUUGGUCUCAACUCGAGCCUUGUCCCGAUUAAAAUGGAAAUGCUUCCUGUGAUUUGCGGGCAGGAGCUGGAGUGGAGGGAGUGGGGACGUUUACGCAGAUUUGCAGGGAUCCUGCCCGAAAUGGAUCCGCGGAGUAAAAGCGAUUUAUCUCGGCGAGUCAGGGCCUGCAGCGUGAUUUAAUUAAGGCCAGAUCAGCCAUAGUCUUUGGCUCUCCCGUGCCCGGCAUCGCUGGGUGGCGGUGCUGAGCGGGCCCUCCUUCCCUCUCCUCCAGGACCAGGGAGGUCGGAACACACUCCUGGACUGUGAGGUUGCUCCCUCAGCUUGCCAGGCCCGUGUCCAGGACCUUGUGCCUGGACCGCAUCCCAGGCGCAGUGGGGAAGAGCAGGAUGCCUACAGUGUGGCCCUGGGGAGGGUCAAACAUGUACAGUCACCUCUCUAGGGCUUCCCACAUGGGCACUCAUCACGCCUCACAGUACAGCCAGGUCAGCAGCUGCACGGAGGGUUUGUGAAGUCACACGGCCAGUAAAUGACGGAGUUGGGACCCACACCCCAGUCAGUGUGACCUGCGACACCGUGAUCCAGGGCUGAGGACGCAAGACUCAGAGUGUAGUCACCUUCUCAGGAAUGCCUGGGUGAGGACUGAGGGAGAAGAAUAUUCUUUGGGCCUCAGGUGGGCCUGGCUGUGGAUGCUUCGUCUCUGAGAUAGGUCCUAACUGGUAAUGAUGAUUGUUAGUAAUGGCAUCCGCCAGUUGCUGUCCCACUCCUGGCAGAUGCACACACAAAGACACGAAGGAGAGGAAAGGACACACCAAAGCCUGGGAGAGACGAAGGCAGGGCACAGUCGAUGGAGCCGGUCAGGAGACCCGCGUGGGUCAGCAGGCAUCUGCUCCGUGAACUGUAGUCCCGCCCGUGACAAAGGUAGUGGUCUCGCGUGGCCCUCCAUCCAUCCCGCCUCUCAGAGCGCAGCGCGGGACCAAGCAGAGCCUGGAGCAUCCCCACGCCUGCCAGGGGGGCUGCUGCCACCCCUCCUUCUCAGCAAAGGAGAGGGGAGAGGCCGGCACCCCUGGGCCUUGCCCGCCUUUGGUGUGCAGACCCAGCCACUCUGGGGCGCCGGGGGGCCAGAGGCAGAGGGCAUAAGCUCUGUGCAAACAUCCUGCCUUCUCCCCAGGAUAUUGUCUUUAAUAAAAGACCAUGGAAAUGUCA